UAAGGUGUCAUAAUAAGCAGAUGUUGGGUC
RNAcentral lists this non-coding RNA (30 nucleotides) under Rattus norvegicus (Norway rat). Lineage: Eukaryota; Metazoa; Chordata; Mammalia; Rodentia; Muridae. The record is from RNAcentral.